Caenorhabditis brenneri is the source of this 72-nucleotide non-coding RNA. The record is from the annotation of a GenBank genome assembly. NCBI's taxonomy places the organism in Eukaryota, Metazoa, Nematoda, Chromadorea, Rhabditida, Rhabditidae.
GACCCGCUGGCCUACUGGUUAGCGCAGCCGUUUUGAAAUUUCGUGACCCGGGUUCGAUUCCGGGUGGGGUCA